RNAcentral lists this ribosomal RNA (398 nucleotides) under uncultured bacterium. Its description in RNAcentral is "partial 16S ribosomal RNA". It matches the Rfam family "Bacterial small subunit ribosomal RNA", at positions 355 to 769 of the family's 1533-position model. The record is from RNAcentral.
UGGGGAAUAUUGGACAAUGGGGGCAACCCUGAUCCAGCAAUGCCGCGUGUGUGAAGAAGGUCUUCGGAUUGUAAAGCACUUUCGACGGGGACGAUGAUGACGGUACCCGUAGAAGAAGCCCCGGCUAACUUCGUGCCAGCAGCCGCGGUAAUACGAAGGGGGCUAGCGUUGCUCGGAAUGACUGGGCGUAAAGGGCGUGUAGGCGGUUUACACAGUCAGAUGUGAAAAUCCCUGGGCUUAACCUGGGAGCUGCAUUUGAUACGUGUAGACUAGAGUGUGAGAGAGGGUUGUGGAAUUCCCAGUGUAGAGGUGAAAUUCGUAGAUAUUGGGAAGAACACCGGUGGCGAAGGCGGCAACCUGGCUCAUGACUGACGCUGAGGCGCGAAAGCGUGGGGAGC